UAGUUCGAUUCUGGCUCAGGAUGAACGCUGGCGGCAUGCCUAAUACAUGCAAGUCGAACGGAGUGAAGCCUUCGGGUUUCAUUCAGUGGCGAACGGGUGAGUAAUACGCAGGGAACCUGGCCAUAGCAGGGGGAUACACUCUGGAAACGGAGCAUAAGACCCCAUAGGCAGUAAGGCGGCAUCGCCUUACUGUUAAAGAAAGCUGAAAGGCUUUGGCGAUGGAUGGACCUGCGGUGCAUUAGCUUGUUGGUGAGGCAACGGCUUACCAAGGCGAUGAUGCAUAGCCGGCCUGAGAGGGCGGACGGCCACACUGGGACUGAGACACGGCCCAGACUCCUGCGGGAGGCAGCAGUAGGGAAUUUUCGUCAAUGGGCGCAAGCCUGAACGAGCAAUGCCGCGUGAGUGAGGAAGGUCUUCGGACUGUAAAGCUCUGUUGCCGGGGAAAAAGGGGAAAUGCAGGAAAUGGCAUUUCAUGGAUGGUACCCGGCCAGAAAGCCACGGCUAACUACGUGCCAGCAGCCGCGGUAAUACGUAGGUGGCGAGCGUUAUCCGGAAUGAUUGGGCGUAAAGGGUGCGCAGGCGGUCUGUUAAGUCUGAAGGCAAAGGGAUGAGCUCAACUCAUUUAUGAUUCAGAAACUGGCAGACUUGAGGACAGGAGAGGGCGGUGGAACUCCAUGUGUAGCGGUAAAAUGCGCAGAGAUAUGGAAGAACACCAGUGGCGAAGGCGGCCGCCUGGCCUGUGACUGACGCUGAGGCACGAAAGCGUGGGGAGCAAAUAGGAUUAGAUACCCUAGUAGUCCACGCCGUAAACGAUGAGGAGCAGGUGUUGGGAGUGAAAUCUCAGUGCCGAAGCCAACGCAGUGACUCCUCCGCCUGGGGAGUAUGCACGCAAGUGUGAAACUCAAAGGAAUUGACGGGGGCCCGCACAAGCGGUGGAGUAUGUGGUUUAAUUCGAAGCAACGCGAAGAACCUUACCAGGUUUUGACAUCGGAUGCGAAGGCGCAGAGAUGCGCUGGAGGCUAUCAUCCAGACAGGUGGUGCAUGGUUGUCGUCAGCUCGUGCCGUGAGAUGUUCAGUUAAGUCUGGCAACGAGCGCAACCCCCGUGGUAUGUUACUAACGCAUUUGGGCGAGGACUCAUAUCAGACUGCCGGUGACAAACCGGAGGAAGGCGGGGAUGACGUCAAAUCAUCAUGCCCCUUAUGACCUGGGCUACACACGUACUACAAUGGCGUCUACAGAGGGAAGCGACCCUGAGAAGGGAAGCGAAACCGGAAAAGGGCGUCCCAGUUCGGAUUGAAGUCUGCAACCCGACUUCAUGAAGAUGGAAUCGCUAGUAAUCGCGGAUCAGCAUGCCGCGGUGAAUACGUUCCCGGGCCUUGUACACACCGCCCGUCAAACCAUGGAAGCCGGCAACGCCCGAAGCCGGUGGCAUAACCUUUUAGGAGUGAGCCGUCGAAGGCGGGGCCGAUGACUGGGGUUAAGUCGUAACAAGGUACCC
RNAcentral lists this ribosomal RNA (1499 nucleotides) under uncultured bacterium. RNAcentral's name for it is "bacterial SSU rRNA". It matches the Rfam family "Bacterial small subunit ribosomal RNA". The record is from RNAcentral.